This 799-nucleotide non-coding RNA is filed under the name Blattella vaga (field cockroach). The record is from RNAcentral. Lineage: Eukaryota; Metazoa; Arthropoda; Insecta; Blattodea; Blattellidae.
GGAAAGUUUUAUUCUUGCUUGAGAAUUUAUUAAAACAUUACUGUAUAUGUAAGUUUUUGCGUGAUUAUAUUAUUUAUUCUUAAUGGGUGGAUAAUGUGUUUAAUAAUUACAGUAUAAAAUAUUAUAAAUUUAAGUAAUUUUGAUUUAGUAAUUGUUAAUAAAUAUUGAUUGAUCAUGUGCCAGCAUUCGCGGUUAUACGUGAAAUAUAAGUAAAUAUUAUCAGUUAAAAUAGUUGAUUUGUUUUAUUUAAAUUUGAAUUGAUUAUUAUGUGGUGAAAUUUAUAAUUUUUGUUUGUGAAUUUAUUGGUUAUUUAAUGAAGCUGUGAAAUCUAAAGUAUUUAAACUAGGAUUAGAUACCCUAUUAUUUUAGAUGUAAAUUUAUUUAACUUGAGUAGUAGUAGUUAAGGUCUUGAAACUUAAAGAAUUUGGCGGUAUUUUAGUCUAUUUAGAGGAAUCUGUCCCAUAAUCGAUAAUCCACGUUGGACCUUACUUAAUUUAUUUAGUAUGUAUACCGCCGUUUUUGAAAAUCUUUUAAGGGUGUUAUUUUUAAAAUAUUUUUGGAUAAUUUUUCAGGUCAAGGUGCAGUUUAUAAUUAAGUGGAGAUGGAUUACAAUAUUUAAUUAAUAUACGAAUUAUUACUUGAAAUAAGUGGUAUGAAGGUGGAUUUAACAGUAAUAUUAUAAAGAUUAUUAAUUUGAUUAAGCUCUAAAAUAUGUACACAUCGCCCGUCGCUCUCGUUAUUUUUUAGGUGAGAUAAGUCGUAACAAAGUAGUUGUACCGGAAGGUGUAACUAGAAUGAG